GAGAGCGUAGCUCAGCUGGUAGAGCAACUGACUUUUAAUCAGUAGGUCCAGGGUUCGAACCCCUGCGCUCUCA
This 73-nucleotide transfer RNA is filed under the name Emiliania huxleyi. RNAcentral describes it as "tRNA-Lys". It matches the Rfam family "tRNA". Rfam says of the family: Transfer RNA (tRNA) molecules are approximately 80 nucleotides in length. Their secondary structure includes four short double-helical elements and three loops (D, anti-codon, and T loops). Further hydrogen bonds mediate the characteristic L-shaped molecular structure. tRNAs have two regions of fundamental functional importance: the anti-codon, which is responsible for specific mRNA codon recognition, and the 3' end, to which the tRNAs corresponding amino acid is attached (by aminoacyl-tRNA synthetases). tRNAs cope with the degeneracy of the genetic code in two manners: having more than one tRNA (with a specific anti-codon) for a particular amino acid; and 'wobble' base-pairing, i.e. permitting non-standard base-pairing at the 3rd anti-codon position. The record is from RNAcentral. RNAcentral also lists the same sequence under 2 other names. Lineage: Eukaryota; Haptophyta; Isochrysidales; Noelaerhabdaceae.